Molecule: long non-coding RNA, 595 nt
Filed under: Phasianus colchicus (ring-necked pheasant)
Lineage: Eukaryota; Metazoa; Chordata; Aves; Galliformes; Phasianidae
Description: lncRNA (ENSPCLG00000007405.1)
Source: RNAcentral
AUUUAAAGCCCAGCCCAGGGCUUCCUGUGCUUAGGUUAUCUCAGGCUGGGGCAUUGCUUCAGACCACACAGGAACAUGCCGAAAUAAUUUUUACUGGUUCCGCAAUAUAACGUGCAGCACAUGGGGAUAGGAGCCGUGCUGUGCUGACACGCUGCCUCAGCACGCCGGCAUGCUGCAGGGCUGCCAGCACACGGCUCUGCAGCAAGGCAGGCAUUGGGAUGCAGGGGUGAUGUGCAUUGGGAUGCAGGAGGAUGCGCAUUGGGAUUCAGUGAGGAUGUGCACUGGGAUGCAGGAGGACACACACUGAGGAUGGGAUGCAGUUUGGGAAUGAGUGUGCACUGCAGGAGGGAGCGCCGAUCUCAGACGGAACACGGCACUGCAAGGACCUGGAUCUGCUGGGCAGCUGGGACAGCUGUGGGUCCAUGGCCAUGAGGAGCAGCCCCAGGGAGGUCGGCAGAGCUGGGGACUGCACAGUGCCAGGUGCCUUCAUUGGGGUCUGUCUGCCCCCUGUCUCUCUGCAGAUGUGGCUGUAGGACCAUGGGGGGAUGGGGAGCCCCUUCAGCUGUCAUUCUUUUGUUCAGGAAAUGAAAAAAUG